AAAUUCGACUUCAUGAAGCUGGAAUUGCCUAGUAAUGGCAGGUCAGCAUACUGCCGUGAAUACGUUCCCGGGCCUUGUACACACCGCCCGUCACACCAUGAGAGUUGGGAAUACCCGAAGCCUGUGAGCUAACUGUAAAGAGGCAGCAGUCGAAGGUAGAAUCAAAUGAUUGGGGUGAAGUCGUAACAAGGUAUC
This 195-nucleotide ribosomal RNA is filed under the name uncultured bacterium. RNAcentral describes it as "partial 16S ribosomal RNA". It matches the Rfam family "Bacterial small subunit ribosomal RNA", at positions 1308 to 1500 of the family's 1533-position model. The record is from RNAcentral.